Molecule: ribosomal RNA, 460 nt
Filed under: uncultured bacterium
Lineage: Bacteria
Description: partial 16S ribosomal RNA
Rfam family: Bacterial small subunit ribosomal RNA
Source: RNAcentral
CCUACGGGAGGCAGCAGUGAGGAAUAUUGGUCAAUGGACGAGAGUCUGAACCAGCCAAGUAGCGUGAAGGAUGACUGCCCUAUGGGUUGUAAACUUCUUUUAUAUGGGAGUAAAAUGUUCCACGUGUGGGAUUUUGUAUGUACCAUAUGAAUAAGGAUCGGCUAACUCCGUGCCAGCAGCCGCGGUAAUACGGAGGAUCCGAGCGUUAUCCGGAUUUAUUGGGUUUAAAGGGAGCGUAGGUGGAUUGUUAAGUCAGUUGUGAAAGUUUGCGGCUCAACCGUAAAAUUGCAGUUGAAACUGGCAGUCUUGAGUACAGUAGAGGUGGGCGGAAUGCGUGGUGUAGCGGUGAAAUGCUUAGAUAUCACGAAGAACUCCGAUUGCGAAGGCAGUUCACUGGACUGCAACUGACACUGAGGCUCGAAAGUGUGGGUAUCAAACAGGAUUAGAUACCCGUGUAGUC